GUAGGUAGGGAGGGAAGUAUUUUCUGUUUGUCGAGAUUGACAUGGUCUAUUUGAUUGUGGUGUUGAAAAUGCAAACCUUGAUGUUGAAGUGCCCGAAGUUGGUAUGCUUUGCUUAUUGGUUGUAUGGUGCAUUGGCACAGAAACCUGUUGGUGGAAAAUAAAUUGCAUAUACAGUAUUUAUAAACAGUGAGCUCCAAAAGUAUUGGGACAGUAACACAUUUGUUGAUGUUUUGGCUCUGUACUCCAGCACUUUGGAUUUGAAAUGAUACAAUGACUAUGAGGUUCAAGUGCAGACUGUCAGCUUUAAUUUGAGGAUAUUUUCAAAUUAAUUGUCCCACCAUUUCAGGGGACCAAAAGUAUUACUAUUAAAAUAGUAAAAAGUUAAGUAUUUGGUCUCAUAUUCCUAGCAUGCAAUGACUACAUCAAGCUUGUGACAGUAGAAACUUGAAAAUAUCCUCAAAUUAAAGCUGACAGCCUGCACUUUAAACUCAUAGUCAUUGUAUCAUUCAAAUCCAAAGCUCUAGAUUACAGAGCCAAAACAACAAUACUUUUGGAGCUCACUGUAAUUAUAAAUAUACCAUCAAAAUGUUGAAAAUCAUUGUCUGCAGCCGGCUUUGAUCGUAGUGUAAUGACACAGGCAGAGAGAGUGAGUGGUCGAAGAACCAUCAACCUUCUGGCCCGUAACCCUGUGUGGCAUCAAUUGUGCCACUACAAAAACAUGCUGAAGUGGAAAAGUCGAUAUCCACAUUUAUAAACACAAGGCCAAUCAAGGAAUUCAGCUAAUGAAGCUAGCAGAAAACCUCUUAGUUGCACUGAGAUAUUCAUGGUCGUUGUGAAGCAAAGUGGAACGACAUUUGCAUGCAUGAUGCGGUGAAUUGUGCGUAACAAGCUGAUGCCGGGGUCAGCGGAGCUCCCAAGUGACCAGCGACAGGGCCAACAGCCAACUGACUGCCUUCUCUACUCUGACCUCCCUUCGUUAGUAACCCCCUCCCUGGGCUUCUCCUCAGACCUGGGGCUGCUAGGGGGACCUAUUUGUGGUCCGCCACUCGUCUGAGGGGAAGGGGAUAGAGACUGAAGGAACAACAGCUGCUGAUGGGGACAUCACGCUUCCCAUGGAAGAGCAGCAUCCUCCUGAGAGAAGGUGCUGUAAUCUGCAAUAAUCGAAUUCUCAGACAUGCAUGAUAGCCAUAGUAUGUCUCGAAGCCACAUUGUACGUGAGUGAACACAUGACAUUGAACAUAUUGACACAUGACGUCGUGUGAUCUAUAUUGUAUUUACAAAAACAAUCAACAGUGCAAGUCAUAUGAUGAUCUUACAUGGAAAGCUCUUGAAAACGUUCACAGACACACACAAACAGAGAUAUAAAAGCAGUGUUAAAUAGACAAAGUGUUAUUAAAUGUAUUUUGUGUAAAGAGAAUCUUCUGGGGUGCCAGAGGAAUGCAAAGAAUUGUAGGCACUUUUUUCUGACAUGGUAUAGUGAUGCCAUCUAGAGUUGCAAUGUGUAACAUUCACACACAGCAAAGAGCCCAGUGGGUUCACUAGUAGCAAUACAAGGUGACAUCAUCUGUCUGAUAAACAGUCUUGUCUGUUUAAUAAUUUAUUUAAUAAAGUGUUAUUUACUUAAUUGACUUAAUUUUGAGUGAAUCUGGAUUCUGCUUAUUCCACAUAUUCAACUUGGUUCAAAAAAAUCAUACAUGUAUGAAAAAAAGUCAACAAUCCUAAAUUGGUUUAGACAUGAUUCUUCCGC
This 1747-nucleotide long non-coding RNA is filed under the name Salmo salar (Atlantic salmon). RNAcentral's name for it is "lncRNA (ENSSSAG00000094530.1, ENSSSAG00000096755.1)". The record is from RNAcentral. Lineage: Eukaryota; Metazoa; Chordata; Actinopteri; Salmoniformes; Salmonidae.